CCCUUAGAUGUUCUGGGCCGCACGCGCGCUACACUGAUGCAUUCAACGAGUCUAAAACCUGGUCUGAUAGGGCUGGGUAAUCUUUUGAAAGUGCAUCGUGAUUGGGAUAGAUGAUUGCAAUUCUUCAUCUUCAACGAGGAAUGCCUAGUAAACGUAAGUCAUCAGCUUGCAUUGAUUACGUCCCUGCCCUUUGUACACACCGCCCGUCGCUCCUACCGAUUGAAUGAUCCGAUGAAUACCAUGGAUUGAGAGUACGAAUGGGUUCGCUCAUUUCUGCUGCUCGUGAAGUGGAGUAAAUCUUAUCAUUUAGAGGAAGGAGAAGUCGUAACA
Molecule: ribosomal RNA, 330 nt
Filed under: uncultured eukaryote
Lineage: Eukaryota
Description: partial 18S ribosomal RNA
Rfam family: Eukaryotic small subunit ribosomal RNA
Source: RNAcentral